CAAAAGCCGUAAUGGCAUCUCCACUUUACCAUCCCAUUUUUCGCUCCCUUUUAAACCUUUCUCUCUCACUUUUGCUUGGUGGGUAGGUGCUGCUACUCUUUGUUUUCUCUUUCUGUCGUUGCUUUGUUUUGAUAAUACUACCUUGCUCUCCUGUAAGAACUAGCUUAAUUAGCUUCCAUGAAGGGUUCAACUUCAACAGGCACAUCUCAUUGCCCUUAUCUGAAGUCGUUAUCAAACAAAGUAGGAAGCAUGCUUUGUUGUCGUGGUUCAACCAACAAGUAUAGCAGGUUGGAUGCAAAGCUUGAAAAGAAAAUGGUUGAAGUUAAAAGAGGUUCCUUGGGCCAUAGCAAUUUCAAGUCAAUUGACAGCAUAAUCAUGAGGUUCCCUCAGUUCAGGGAGGAACUCAAGAAAAUAAGAGAUGUCUUUGAACAGUAUGAUGAGGACUCAAAUGGAACUAUUGACCUUGAGGAACUGAAGAAAUGCUUACAGAAACUGCAACUCCAUCUGACAGCGGAGGAGAUUGAGGAUCUUUUUCAUUCAUGUGACAUGGAUGGGAGUGAAGGGAUACAAUUCAAUGAAUUCAUUGUUCUUCUAUGCCUCAUCUAUCUAUUAAAGGAACCUUCAUCCUCUCAUAAUACAUCCAAGAUAGAUUCGCCACAGCUUGAAGCAACUUUUGACACCGUAAUUGAAGUAUUCUCAUUUCUGGAUAAAAAUGGUGAUGGGAAACUGAACAAGACAGACAUGGUGAAGGCAUUGAAUGAGGCUUAUCCUUUGGAGAAAUCUCCUGCACAUGUCACCAGGACUCGAUUCAAAGAAAUGGAUUGGAGCAAACGUGGGAAGGUCAGUUUCAGGGAGUUCCUCUUUGCUUUCAUCGAUUGGGUUGGAAUUGACACAGAUGAAGAAAUGUCUCCAGUACGAAGUUCAAGCAAGUAAUGUACAGUUUAGAAAUGGGUGCAGUAGCAGUUGUUCAAAUGAGGUCAGAUUGAUACAUUUAUAUAUGUAUAUAUUUCUAAAGCAUUUUAAGUUUGUAUAAAACAGUUUAGCUGUUCUAUCAUGUUUAGGUAAUGUAUUAUUUUCUUUACUAGUUUGAACCAUCUUGUGAAUCACUAUGAGAACUAAAUGAUGGACAGUAUUUUCACUUUUUCCUGUA
Non-coding RNA from Prunus avium (sweet cherry), 1150 nucleotides. The record is from RefSeq and is a predicted model, not a curated record. Lineage: Eukaryota; Viridiplantae; Streptophyta; Magnoliopsida; Rosales; Rosaceae.